CAGGCUGCUGCAACUGUUUAUUAAAAACACAGCACUCUGCAAACACGAAAGUGGACGUAUAGGGUGUGAUGCCUGCCCGGUGCUGGAAGGUUAAUUGAUGGGGUUAGCGUAAGCGAAGCUCUUGAUCGAAGCCCCAGUAAACGGCGGCCGUAACUAUAACGGUCCUAAGGUAGCGAAAUUCCUUGUCGGGUAAGUUCCGACCUGCACGAAUGGCAUAAUGAUGGCCACGCUGUCUCCAGCAGAGACUCAGUGAAAUCGAAAUCGCAGUGAAGAUGCUGUGUACCCGCGGCUAGACGGUAAGACCCCGUGAACCUUUACUACAGCUUUACAUUGAACUUUGACCUGACUUGUGCAGGAUAGGUGGGAGGCUAUGAAGCAGAUACGCCAGUAUUUGUGGAGUCAACCUUGAAAUACCACCCUGGUCAUGUUGGGGUUCUAACUUAGAUAUUCACAAUAUCGAGGACAAUGUAUGGUGGGUAGUUUGACUGGGGCGGUCUCCUCCUAAAGAGUAACGGAGGAGUACGAAGGUGCGCUCAGAACGGUCGGAAAUCGUUCAAAGAGUAUAAAGGCAAAAGCGCGCUUAACUGCGAGACCCACAAGUCGAGCAGGUACGAAAGUAGGUCUUAGUGAUCCGGUGGUUCUGUAUGGAAGGGCCAUCGCUCAACGGAUAAAAGGUACUCUGGGGAUAACAGGCUGAUACCGCCCAAGAGUUCAUAUCGACGGCGGUGUUUGGCACCUCGAUGUCGGCUCAUCUCAUCCUGGGGCUGAAGCAGGUCCCAAGGGUAUGGCUGUUCGCCAUUUAAAGAGGUACGCGAGCUGGGUUUAGAACGUCGUGAGACAGUUCGGUCCCUAUCUACCGUGGGCGUUGGAAAUUUGAGAGGAUCUGCUCCUAGUACGAGAGGACCAGAGUGGACGAACCUCUGGUGUUUCGGUUG
Molecule: ribosomal RNA, 935 nt
Filed under: Moraxella catarrhalis
Lineage: Bacteria; Pseudomonadati; Pseudomonadota; Gammaproteobacteria; Moraxellales; Moraxellaceae
Description: bacterial LSU rRNA
Rfam family: Bacterial large subunit ribosomal RNA
Source: RNAcentral